CGGGGCGUGGCGCAGCUUGGUUUAGCGCGCUUGCUUUGGGAGCAAGAGGUCGUCGGUUCAAGUCCGACCGCCCCGACCA
This 79-nucleotide transfer RNA is filed under the name bacterium. RNAcentral describes it as "tRNA-Pro". It matches the Rfam family "tRNA". Rfam says of the family: Transfer RNA (tRNA) molecules are approximately 80 nucleotides in length. Their secondary structure includes four short double-helical elements and three loops (D, anti-codon, and T loops). The record is from RNAcentral. RNAcentral also lists the same sequence under 1 other name.